RNAcentral lists this ribosomal RNA (324 nucleotides) under uncultured bacterium. RNAcentral describes it as "bacterial SSU rRNA". It matches the Rfam family "Bacterial small subunit ribosomal RNA", at positions 29 to 327 of the family's 1533-position model. The record is from RNAcentral.
AACGAACGCUGGCGGCGUGGCUAAGGCAUGCAAGUCGAACGGACAUGAGCGUUGGGUAACUGAUGCUCUUGUUAGUGGCGAACGGGUGAGGAAUGCAUGGAUAACGUACCCUGGGACUCGGGAAUAGCGGCGGGACUUCGGUCCCUUUGCGAAAGUGCCGGUAAUGCCCGAUGACCCCGNGUGGUUGCAUGAUCGUGCGGGCAAAGUUCAGGCGGUCUGGGANCGGUCCAUGUCCUAUCAGCUAGUUGUGGGGUAACGGCUACCAAGGCAACGACGGGUANCGGGUNUGAGAGCAAUGACCCGANACAUCCGGAACUGAGACAC